RNAcentral lists this ribosomal RNA (498 nucleotides) under uncultured bacterium. Its description in RNAcentral is "partial 16S ribosomal RNA". It matches the Rfam family "Bacterial small subunit ribosomal RNA", at positions 30 to 523 of the family's 1533-position model. The record is from RNAcentral.
AUUGAACGCUGGCGGCAUGCCUUACACAUGCAAGUCGAACGGUAACAGGUCUUCGGAUGCUGACGAGUGGCGAACGGGUGAGUAAUACAUCGGAACGUGCCCGAUCGUGGGGGAUAACGAAGCGAAAGCUUUGCUAAUACCGCAUAAGAUCUACGGAUGAAAGCAGGGGACCGCAAGGCCUUGCGCGAACGGAGCGGCCGAUGGCAGAUUAGGUAGUUGGUGGGAUAAAAGCUUACCAAGCCGACGAUCUGUAGCUGGUCUGAGAGGACGACCAGCCACACUGGGACUGAGACACGGCCCAGACUCCUACGGGAGGCAGCAGUGGGGAAUUUUGGACAAUGGGCGAAAGCCUGAUCCAGCCAUGCCGCGUGCAGGAUGAAGGCCUUCGGGUUGUAAACUGCUUUUGUACGGAACGAAAAGACUCUUUCUAAUACAAGGGGCUCAUGACGGUACCGUAAGAAUAAGCACCGGCUAACUACGUGCCAGCAGCCGCCGUAA